AUUGAACGCUGGCGGCAGGCUUAACACAUGCAAGUCGAACGAGUGGCGGACGGGUGAGUAAUGCUUGUGAAUCUAGCUUAUGGAGGGCGAUAACUAAGGGGAACUGUAGCUAAUACCGCGUACAAUAGGAUGAGCCCAAGUGGGAUUGGGUAGUUGGUGAGGUAAAGGCCCACAAAGCCGACCAUCUAUAGCUGGUCUGAGAGGAUGACCAGCCACACUGGGACUGAGACACGGCCCAGACUCCUACGGGAGGCAGCAGUGGGGAAUAUUGGGCAAUGGGGGCAACCUGACGCAGCCAUGCCGCGUGAGUGAAGAAGGCCUUCGGGUUGUAAAGUUCUUUCGGUGGCGAGGCGUUAACUACAGAAGAAGCACCGGCUAACUCCGUGCCAGCAGCCGCGGUAAUAC
This 405-nucleotide ribosomal RNA is filed under the name uncultured bacterium. RNAcentral's name for it is "partial 16S ribosomal RNA". It matches the Rfam family "Bacterial small subunit ribosomal RNA", at positions 30 to 526 of the family's 1533-position model. The record is from RNAcentral.